GGGCCCGCACAAGCAGUGGAUUAUGUGGUUUAAUUCGAAGCAACGCGAAGAACCUUACCAGGUCUUGACAUCCAACUAACGAGGCAGAGAUGCGUUAGGUGCCCUUCGGGGAAAGUUGAGACAGGUGGUGCAUGGUUGUCGUCAGCUCGUGUCGUGAGAUGUUGGGUUAAGUCCCGCAACGAGCGCAACCCCUGCCAUUAGUUGCUACGCAAGAGCACUCUAAUGGGACCGCUACCGACAAGGUGGAGGAAGGUGGGGACGACGUCAAAUCAUCAUGCCCUUUAUGACCUGGGCUACACACGUAAUACAAUGGCCGUUAACAAAGAGAAGCAAUCCCGCGAGGGGGAGGCAAAACUCCAAAAACGGUCUCAGUUCGGAUCGCAGGCUGCAACCCGCCUGCGUGAAGUUGGAAUUGCUAGUAAUCGCGGAUCAGCAUGCCGCGGUGAUACG
RNAcentral lists this ribosomal RNA (450 nucleotides) under uncultured Eubacteriales bacterium. RNAcentral describes it as "bacterial SSU rRNA". It matches the Rfam family "Bacterial small subunit ribosomal RNA", at positions 917 to 1370 of the family's 1533-position model. The record is from RNAcentral. Lineage: Bacteria; Bacillati; Bacillota; Clostridia; Eubacteriales.